Molecule: ribosomal RNA, 208 nt
Filed under: uncultured bacterium
Lineage: Bacteria
Description: partial 16S ribosomal RNA
Rfam family: Bacterial small subunit ribosomal RNA
Source: RNAcentral
GCGUGUAGGCGGACAAUCAAGUCCGGUGUGAAAGAUCUCGGCUUAACCGAGGGGACGCGCUGGAAACUGGUAGUCUUGAGUACUGGAGGGGAAGCUGGAAUUCCUGGUGUAGGGGUGAAAUCUGUAGAUAUCAGGAAGAACACCGGUGGCGAAGGCGAGCUUCUGGCCAGUAACUGACGCUGAGGCGCGAAAGCGUGGGGAGCGAACA